Molecule: microRNA precursor, 142 nt
Filed under: Otolemur garnettii (small-eared galago)
Lineage: Eukaryota; Metazoa; Chordata; Mammalia; Primates; Galagidae
Description: miRNA (ENSOGAG00000021175.1)
Source: RNAcentral
CAGAAUAUCAAAUUAAAUUACAAUUUCAGAUAAACAACGAACUAUUUUUAUUAUAAGAAUGUCCCAUUCAAUAAUUGGGACAUACUUAUGCUAAAACAUUACUCAUCGUCUAUUUGAAAUUCUAAUUUAAGUGGGUGCCUUU